AGGUGGUCAAAGAGGUGAGUGCAGCUGGAUGGAAGUUGAACAGCAUCAUGCCGGUUUUCCAAAUAAUAUUAAUCAUACUCUUUUCUUUUUUUUCUCAGAUGAAGGAAGGUGCAGCCGGGGAGUGGAGGAGGUGGAGGAGCGGGAUGAGCGUUUGGAGGAGGAUGAGCGGGUGGAGGCCGGGCCAAGCAGGGAGGUCGAUGAACAGAGGGCAACCUUCAAGGGGAUGGGGAGAGGUGCGGCCAUGCGGCAUCUGGUCCUCCCUCCCAGUAUUGGGAAAUGGAAAAAACUCUUUUGUGGGGGCAUACCAAUCCUUCCACGAAAGAAGCCACCGAACAAAUAAACAAGUGGAAAUUGCACUAUCAAAAGCCAGUCGGGUGAGGUCGUUUUUAUUCCACCUCUGUGGGUAAGAGCGACCUCGCCUCCUGGCUUUUCUUAGAUAUGCCCGGCAUUCAGAAAUACACAGCUGAACUGAUGCAAGAGGGCAAAGAGGUCACCACAAUAAACUAUUACCUCUGCAAUAUCCUGCAGUUUUUGACAUACCUGCAGGAGACCCCACCAAAGUCAUGCAGGUUGAGGAGGGCCCA
Pseudoliparis swirei is the source of this 584-nucleotide long non-coding RNA. RefSeq lists it as uncharacterized. NCBI's taxonomy places the organism in Eukaryota, Metazoa, Chordata, Actinopteri, Perciformes, Liparidae. The record is from RefSeq and is a predicted model, not a curated record. The transcript is spliced from 3 exons.